AAAGAGAACCUGUAAACGCUUUCGGAAUUAUGGCGGCGGUGGAUAUCCGAGACAAUCUGCUGGGAAUUUCUUGGGUUGACAGCUCUUGGAUCCCUAUUUUGAACAGUGGUAGUGUCCUGGAUUACUUUUCAGAAAGAAGUAAUCCUUUUUAUGACAGAACAUGUAAUAAUGAAGUGGUCAAAAUGCAGAGGCUAACAUUAGAACACUUGAAGGCGUUUAUAGAUCUUUGGAUGUCUGUGUUCUGUUUUCAGUCAGAUGGUUGGAAUCGAGUACAUCCUUUUGCAUGCUCAAGAGCCCAUUCUUUUCAUCAUUCGGAAGCAACAGCGGCAGUCCCCUGCCCAAGUUAUCCCACUAGCUGAUUACUAUAUCAUUGCUGGAGUGAUCUAUCAGGCACCAGACUUGGGAUCAGUUAUAAACUCUAGAGUGCUUACUGCAGUGCAUGGUAUUCAGUCAGCUUUUGAUGAAGCUAUGUCAUACUGUCGAUAUCAUCCUUCCAAAGGGUAUUGGUGGCACUUCAAAGAUCAUGAAGAGCAAGAUAAAGUCAGACCUAAAGCCAAAAGGAAAGAAGAACCAAGCUCUAUUUUUCAGAGACAACGUGUGGAUGCUUUACUUUUAGACCUCAGACAAAAAUUUCCACCCAAAUUUGUGCAG
RNAcentral lists this small RNA (651 nucleotides) under Pan troglodytes (chimpanzee). RNAcentral's name for it is "retained intron". The record is from RNAcentral. Lineage: Eukaryota; Metazoa; Chordata; Mammalia; Primates; Hominidae.